AUCACUUCUCAGCCUUUUGGCUAAGAUGAAGUGUAGUAUCUGUUCUUAUCAGUUUAAAUAGACCAUUUUCUAUCAAUACCAUAAUCACAUUCUCUUCUCAUCAUUCUUUGUAUUGAAUUUGCACUGUAGAGACUAAACAGAUGGUUUAGAUAGGUUCACUUACUAUGCCCCAGGCGCUAUAGACAAAAUGUC
This is a small nuclear RNA of Mustela erminea (ermine), 192 nucleotides long. RefSeq annotates it as U2 spliceosomal RNA. NCBI's taxonomy places the organism in Eukaryota, Metazoa, Chordata, Mammalia, Carnivora, Mustelidae. The transcript has a single exon. The record is from RefSeq and is a predicted model, not a curated record.